This is a long non-coding RNA of Brienomyrus brachyistius, 1328 nucleotides long. RefSeq lists it as uncharacterized. NCBI's taxonomy places the organism in Eukaryota, Metazoa, Chordata, Actinopteri, Osteoglossiformes, Mormyridae. The record is from RefSeq and is a predicted model, not a curated record. The transcript is spliced from 3 exons.
UGAGAACGACGAAUUUCAUAAUUUUACAUGAUUAGUCUCCGUCGACCAAAUAUGUAGCAAAAUGCCAGUGGAAAGUUAUGUAAUUGCAACCAACAGGACUAUAAUAGAUCAGACACGUUACUUAAAACAGCUGUUUAACUUUUAACAAUAGUGAUAAUAGGUGUUCGGUAAGGGUGUGAGAACAAUGGGGGGAGGAGUUACCUCAUGGGAAGAGAACAUAACGCCAUUGUUCCUAGUACACAUUAAACCAACCCAAGCACUCAGCAUUGUAUCAUUGUUGAUAAUUUAUUAGUUUUAGACAAGUAACACCUACAAGAUAAUAUUUACUCACUGCCAAAAAACAACAAUGGAGAUUCUGUACAUUUCAACAACCUUUCUACUCAUAACUGGGUCAACCGAUGGAGUGAAAAUUACUCAGAAAACAGAAGUUCUCUUUACCGAAAUCAGGACUCCGUCAGUGACACUGGAAUGCGAACAUGAUGAUAACAAUUAUUACUACAUGUACUGGUACAGGCAUCAUCAGGGAGGGAUGGAUAUACUGGCAUAUUCCGUUGCCGAAAACACAGUGAAUAUAGAGCCUCCUUUUAAUGAUUCCAAAUACGAAAUGCUCCGACCUCAUAUUAAGAUAUCGUCACUACAGAUAAAAAACAUAGAGGCUACAGACUCGGCUGUGUAUUAUUGCGCUGCCAGUAUGACACAAUGACUCAUGGCAAGAACGCAGCGCAACAAUAACUGCCAACCACAGUCUCUCAGAAGGAGAAAAAGGCUAAAUGCUACACCUGUGCUCUGUAGAACGAUUCGUCUGGGUGGUGAUGGGGCAAGGGCUGUUAGCUUACAAAAUUUACAUGAUACAAAAUCACAUGACCGCCAAAUGUUUCGUCAAUUACGAGAAGGUUAGGAGGAGGAGAGAGAAACCACAUCAAGAGGAGAGAGAAUCGCUGUAGCUUAUUUUAUGUAGCUCUUGUUAGUUGUUCUUGGUCAGAAUGUUCUGUCGGACUGUACAGAUUAUUUUGUAAGGAACUGUGUGGCCUUGGUACAUGGAAAAGCUUCUGCAAACUCAUUUGCGGUGUGAUACUGGAUCUUCACAGAAAGAGGCAACUUAGAAAAGUGAAAAAGAAGGCAAAGAGCACUUCAUUAUGAACAGAAUGGACUUUUUCUGGUUCCUAAUAACCUUCCUGCUCACUGCCAAAACAACGGACGGAGUGAAUGUGAUUCAAAAGGUCAAAAUUCUAUUUGCAAAAGUUGGGGAGACUUCAGCGAAGCUGGACUGUGAACAUGAUGAUAAUACACACUUCUAUAUGUACUGGUACAAGCAUAAGACCGGAGAG